GGCGCUGUGGCUUAGUUGGUUAAAGCGCCAGUGUUGUAAAGAGGAGAUCCUGAUCUCGAAUCUCAGCAGUGCCU
This 74-nucleotide transfer RNA is filed under the name Dallia pectoralis (Alaska blackfish). Its description in RNAcentral is "tRNA-OTHER". It matches the Rfam family "tRNA". Rfam says of the family: Transfer RNA (tRNA) molecules are approximately 80 nucleotides in length. Their secondary structure includes four short double-helical elements and three loops (D, anti-codon, and T loops). The record is from RNAcentral. Lineage: Eukaryota; Metazoa; Chordata; Actinopteri; Esociformes; Umbridae.